CCCUUAGAUGUUCUGGGCCGCACGCGCGCUACACUGACGAAGUCAGCGAGCAUGUCCUACGCCGACAGGUGCGGGGAAUCUUGUCAAACUUCGUCGUGAUGGGGAUUGAUUAUUGAAAUUCUUGAUCAUCAACGAGGAAUUCCUAGUAAGCGCAAGUCAGCAGCUUGCGUUGAUUACGUCCCUGCCCUUUGUACACACCGCCCGUCGCUCCUACCGAUUGGAUGAUCCGGUGAGCUAUUCGGACUUUCGCAUUGUCGAUUUUCGGCUUUACGAGGGAAAGUCUCGCGAACCUUAUCAUCUAGAGGAAGGAGAAGUCGUAACA
Molecule: ribosomal RNA, 322 nt
Filed under: uncultured eukaryote
Lineage: Eukaryota
Description: partial 18S ribosomal RNA
Rfam family: Eukaryotic small subunit ribosomal RNA
Source: RNAcentral